GCCGGUGUAGCUCAGAGGCAGAGCGAGGGUCUCAUAAUCCCUAGGUCGGCGGUUCGAUUCCGCCCGCCGGCACCA
Molecule: transfer RNA, 75 nt
Filed under: Acidobacteriota bacterium
Lineage: Bacteria; Pseudomonadati; Acidobacteriota
Description: tRNA-Met
Rfam family: tRNA
About the family: Transfer RNA (tRNA) molecules are approximately 80 nucleotides in length. Their secondary structure includes four short double-helical elements and three loops (D, anti-codon, and T loops). Further hydrogen bonds mediate the characteristic L-shaped molecular structure. tRNAs have two regions of fundamental functional importance: the anti-codon, which is responsible for specific mRNA codon recognition, and the 3' end, to which the tRNAs corresponding amino acid is attached (by aminoacyl-tRNA synthetases). tRNAs cope with the degeneracy of the genetic code in two manners: having more than one tRNA (with a specific anti-codon) for a particular amino acid; and 'wobble' base-pairing, i.e. permitting non-standard base-pairing at the 3rd anti-codon position.
Source: RNAcentral